Molecule: ribosomal RNA, 497 nt
Filed under: uncultured bacterium
Lineage: Bacteria
Description: partial 16S ribosomal RNA
Rfam family: Bacterial small subunit ribosomal RNA
Source: RNAcentral
GAUGAACGCUGGCGGCGUGCCUAAUACAUGCAAGUCGAGCGAACAGACGAGGAGCUUGCUCCUCUGACGUUAGCGGCGGACGGGUGAGUAACACGUGGAUAACCUACCUAUAAGACUGGGAUAACUUCGUGAAACCGGAGCUAAUACCGGAUAAUAUAUUGAACCGCAUGGUUCAAUAGUUAAAGACGGUUUUGCUGUCACUUAUAGAUUGAUCCGCGCCGCAUUAGCUAGUUGGUAAGGUAACGGCUUACCAAGGCGACGAUGCGUAGCCGACCUGAGAGGGUGAUCGGCCACACUGGAACUGAGACACGGUCCAGACUCCUACGGGAGGCAGCAGUAGGGAAUCUUCCGCAAUGGGCGAAAGCCUGACGGAGCAACGCCGCGUGAGUGAUGAAGGUCUUCGGAUCGUAAAACUCUGUUAUUAGGGAAGAACAAAUGUGUAAGUAACUAUGCACGUCUUGACGGUACCUAAUCAGAAAGCCACGGCUAACUACGUG